UGGGCAAGGCUCUUCAUGGAAGGUCAAAU
RNAcentral lists this non-coding RNA (29 nucleotides) under Rattus norvegicus (Norway rat). Lineage: Eukaryota; Metazoa; Chordata; Mammalia; Rodentia; Muridae. The record is from RNAcentral.